AGGGUUUGAUCCUGGCUCAGGAUGAACGCUAGCGGCAGGCUUAACACAUGCAAGUCGAGGGGUAUAGUAGCAAUACUAGAGACCGGCGCACGGGUGCGUAACGCGUAUGCGAUCUACCUUUUACAGAGGGAUAGCCCAGAGAAAUUUGGAUUAAUACCUCAUAGCAUAGCAGCUUCGCAUGAAGUCACUAUUAAAGUUCCAACGGUAAAAGAUGAGCAUGCGUCCUAUUAGCUAGAUGGUAAGGUAACGGCUUACCAUGGCUACGAUAGGUAGGGGUCCUGAGAGGGAGAUCCCCCACACUGGUACUGAGACACGGACCAGACUCCUACGGGAGGCAGCAGUGAGGAAUAUUGGACAAUGGGCGCAAGCCUGAUCCAGCCAUGCCGCGUGCAGGAAGACGCAUCUAUGGUGUGUAAACUGCUUUUGUACGGGAAGAAACACUCCUACGUGUAGGAGCUUGACGGUACCGUAAGAAUAAGGAUCGGCUAACUCCGUGCCAGCAGCCGCGGUAAUACGGAGGAUCCAAGCGUUAUCCGGAAUCCUUGGGUUUAAAGGGUCC
Molecule: ribosomal RNA, 559 nt
Filed under: uncultured Flavobacteriia bacterium
Lineage: Bacteria; Pseudomonadati; Bacteroidota; Flavobacteriia
Description: bacterial SSU rRNA
Rfam family: Bacterial small subunit ribosomal RNA
Source: RNAcentral